RNAcentral lists this ribosomal RNA (230 nucleotides) under uncultured bacterium. RNAcentral's name for it is "partial 16S ribosomal RNA". It matches the Rfam family "Bacterial small subunit ribosomal RNA", at positions 118 to 350 of the family's 1533-position model. The record is from RNAcentral.
UGGGCAACCUGCCCUCAGCUCUGGGAUAACUCCGGGAAACCGGGGCUAAUACCGGAUAUGACCAUCCCUGGCAUCUGGGGUGGUGGAAAGUUCUUCGGCUGAGGAUGGGCCCGCGGCCUAUCAGCUAGUUGGUGGGGUGACGGCCUACCAAGGCGACGACGGGUAGCCGGCCUGAGAGGGCGACCGGCCACACUGGGACUGAGACACGGCCCAGACUCCUACGGGAGGCA